RNAcentral lists this transfer RNA (72 nucleotides) under Acidimicrobiales bacterium. RNAcentral describes it as "tRNA-Pro". It matches the Rfam family "tRNA". From Rfam's summary of the family: Transfer RNA (tRNA) molecules are approximately 80 nucleotides in length. Their secondary structure includes four short double-helical elements and three loops (D, anti-codon, and T loops). Further hydrogen bonds mediate the characteristic L-shaped molecular structure. tRNAs have two regions of fundamental functional importance: the anti-codon, which is responsible for specific mRNA codon recognition, and the 3' end, to which the tRNAs corresponding amino acid is attached (by aminoacyl-tRNA synthetases). tRNAs cope with the degeneracy of the genetic code in two manners: having more than one tRNA (with a specific anti-codon) for a particular amino acid; and 'wobble' base-pairing, i.e. permitting non-standard base-pairing at the 3rd anti-codon position. Lineage: Bacteria; Bacillati; Actinomycetota; Acidimicrobiia; Acidimicrobiales. The record is from RNAcentral. RNAcentral also lists the same sequence under 2 other names.
CGGGGAGUGGCGCAGCGGUAGCGCACCUGCUUUGGGGGCAGGCGGUCGGGGGUUCAAGUCCCCCCUCCCCGA